CCUACGGGUGGCAGCAGUGGGGAAUAUUGCACAAUGGGCGAAAGCCUGAUGCAGCAACGCCGCGUGAAGGAAGACGGUUUUCGGAUCGUAAACUUCUGUUCUUAGUGAAGAAUAAUGACGGUAACUACGGAGAAAGCCACGGCUAACUACGUGCCAGCAGCCGCGGUAAAACGUAGGUGGCAGGCGUUGUCCGGAAUUACUGGGUGUAAAGGGAGCGAAGGCGGGAAGCCAAGUCAGCUGUGAAAACUACGGGCUGAACCUGUAGACUGCAGUUGAAACUGGCUUUCUUGAGUGAAGUAGAGGUUGGCGGAAUUCCGAGUGUAGCGGUGAAAUGCGUAGAUAUUCGGAGGAACACCGGUGGCGAAGGCGGCCAACUGGGCUGUAACUGACGCUGAGGCUCGAAAGUGUGGGGAGCAAACAGGAUUAGAUACCCCUGUAGUC
This 441-nucleotide ribosomal RNA is filed under the name uncultured bacterium. Its description in RNAcentral is "partial 16S ribosomal RNA". It matches the Rfam family "Bacterial small subunit ribosomal RNA", at positions 338 to 795 of the family's 1533-position model. The record is from RNAcentral.